Molecule: ribosomal RNA, 497 nt
Filed under: uncultured bacterium
Lineage: Bacteria
Description: partial 16S ribosomal RNA
Rfam family: Bacterial small subunit ribosomal RNA
Source: RNAcentral
GAUGAACGCUGGCGGCGUGCCUAAUACAUGCAAGUCGAGCGAACAGACGAGGAGCUUGCUCCUCUGACGUUAGCGGCGGACGGGUGAGUAACACGUGGAUAACCUACCUAUAAGACUGGGAUAACUUCGGGAAACCGGAGCUAAUACCGGAUAACAUGUUGAACCGCAUGGUUCAACAGUGAAAGACGGUCUUGCUGUCACUUAUAGAUGGAUCCGCGCCGCAUUAGCUAGUUGGUAAGGUAACGGCUUACCAAGGCAACGAUGCGUAGCCGACCUGAGAGGGUGAUCGGCCACACUGGAACUGAGACACGGUCCAGACUCCUACUGGAGGCAGCAGUAGGGAAUCUUCCGCAAUGGGCGAAAGCCUGACGGAGCAACGCCGCGUGAGUGAAGAAGGUCUUCGGAUCGUAAAACUCUGUUAUUAGGGAAGAACAAAUGUGUAAGUAACUAUGCACGUCUUGACGGUACCUAAUCAGAAAGCCACGGCUAACUACGUG